UACGAAGGGGGCUAGCGUUGCUCGGAAUUACUGGGCGUAAAGGGCGCGUAGGCGGACAGUUUAGUCAGAGGUGAAAGCCCAGGGCUCAACCUUGGAAUUGCCUUUGAUACUGGCUGUCUUGAGUACGGGAGAGGUGAGUGGAACUCCGAGUGUAGAGGUGAAAUUCGUAGAUAUUCGGAAGAACACCAGUGGCGAAGGCGACUCACUGGCCCGGUACUGACGCUGAGGCGCGAAAGCGUGGGGAGCAAACGGG
This 253-nucleotide ribosomal RNA is filed under the name uncultured bacterium. Its description in RNAcentral is "partial 16S ribosomal RNA". It matches the Rfam family "Bacterial small subunit ribosomal RNA", at positions 524 to 776 of the family's 1533-position model. The record is from RNAcentral.